Molecule: ribosomal RNA, 560 nt
Filed under: Tubulipora lobifera
Lineage: Eukaryota; Metazoa; Bryozoa; Stenolaemata; Tubuliporida; Tubuliporidae
Description: partial 12S ribosomal RNA
Source: RNAcentral
UGCCAGCAGCAGCGGUUAAACUUUGAUCUUCAAUUUAUUUACAUUGGUUAAAACAUAGGUUAUAAAAAAUUAAUAUUUCUAGGUUAAAUUUAAAUUGAAUGACUUCCACAGUAGCAAUAUUUAAAAAACUAAUAAGAAAAACUGAGAUUAGAGACCUCACUAUUUAUUAGAAUAAUUUUUAACCUAAUUAUUAAAGGUGUACACGCUUAAAAUUUAAAGAACUUGGCUAUUUCUAAAAGUAUUGGGGGAUUUUGCUUCUGGAAACAAUGAUCCGUGUUAUAUCUUUCCUUAUUCAAAGUUUAUAUAUCGCCGUUUAAUUUAAAGAUGAGAAUAUUGAUAUUUAAGAGAAAGCUUAUAGGCAAAAAGUCAGGUCAAGAUACAGCAUAAUAAGGUGGUGAAGUGAAAUACAGUUUUAUAAAAAGCCAUUUGGAAACUUAAAAUAAAUAGAACUUAAUAGUAAUAUUUAUUUAAAAUGUAAAUAUGAAAUAUUUAAUUAGAAAGGUACAUAUCGCCCGUCACGCUUUAUUUAAAACUAAAUCAAGAUAAGUCGUAACAAAGUA